GACGAACGCUGGCGGCGUGCCUAAUACAUGCAAGUCGAACGCUUUUUCUUUCACCGGAGCUUGCUCCACCGAAAGAAAAAGAGUGGCGAACGGGUGAGUAACACGUGGGUAACCUGCCCAUCAGAAGGGGAUAACACUUGGAAACAGGUGCUAAUACCGUAUAACACUAUUUUCCGCAUGGAAGAAAGUUGAAAGGCGCUUUUGCGUCACUGAUGGAUGGACCCGCGGUGCAUUAGCUAGUUGGUGAGGUAACGGCUCACCAAGGCAACGAUGCAUAGCCGACCUGAGAGGGUGAUCGGCCACACUGGGACUGAGACACGGCCCAGACUCCUACGGGAGGCAGCAGUAGGGAAUCUUCGGCAAUGGACGAAAGUCUGACCGAGCAACGCCGCGUGAGUGAAGAAGGUUUUCGGAUCGUAAAACUCUGUUGUUAGAGAAGAACAAGGAUGAGAGUAAA
RNAcentral lists this ribosomal RNA (457 nucleotides) under Enterococcus casseliflavus. RNAcentral's name for it is "bacterial SSU rRNA". It matches the Rfam family "Bacterial small subunit ribosomal RNA", at positions 28 to 465 of the family's 1533-position model. Lineage: Bacteria; Bacillati; Bacillota; Bacilli; Lactobacillales; Enterococcaceae. The record is from RNAcentral.